AUUGAACGCUGGCGGCAUGCCUUACACAUGCAAGUCGAACGGUAACAGGUUAAGCUGACGAGUGGCGAACGGGUGAGUAAUGCAUCGGAACGUGCCCGAUCGUGGGGGAUAACGCAGCGAAAGCUGCGCUAAUACCGCAUACGAUCUGAGGAUGAAAGCGGGGGACCGUAAGGCCUCGCGCGAUCGGAGCGGCCGAUGUCAGAUUAGGUAGUUGGUGGGGUAAAGGCCCACCAAGCCGACGAUCUGUAGCUGGUCUGAGAGGACGACCAGCCACACUGGGACUGAGACACGGCCCAGACUCCGACGUGAGGCAGCAGUGGGGAAUUUUGGACAAUGGGCGAAAGCCUGAUCCAGCAAUGCCGCGUGCAGGAAGAAGGCCUUCGGGUUGUAAACUGCUUUUGUACGGAGCGAAAAGGUCCUUUCUAAUACAAGGGGCUCAUGACGGUACCGUAAGAAUAAGCACCGGCUAACUACGUGCCAGCAGCCGCCGUAA
RNAcentral lists this ribosomal RNA (493 nucleotides) under uncultured bacterium. RNAcentral describes it as "partial 16S ribosomal RNA". It matches the Rfam family "Bacterial small subunit ribosomal RNA", at positions 29 to 523 of the family's 1533-position model. The record is from RNAcentral.